CCUUAGGCCAUGACGGUCCUUGGAUUUGCUC
Molecule: non-coding RNA, 31 nt
Filed under: Homo sapiens (human)
Lineage: Eukaryota; Metazoa; Chordata; Mammalia; Primates; Hominidae
Source: RNAcentral